CNUACGGGGAGGCAGCAGUGGGGAAUAUUGGACAAUGGGGGCAANCCUGAUCCAGCCAGCCGCGUGUGUGAAGAAGGCCUUCGGGUUGUAAAGCACUUUCAGUGGGGAGGAAAAGCUGUUGGUUAAUACCCAACGGUCCUGACGUUACCCACAGAAGAAGCACCGGCUAAUUCCGUGCCAGCAGCCGCGGUAAUACGGAGGGUGCGAGCGUUAAUCGGAAUUACUGGGCGUAAAGCGCACGUAGGUGGUUUGUUAAUCUAGCUGUGAAAGGCCCGGGUUCAACCUGGGAAUUCCAGUUGGAACUGGCAGGCUGGAGUGCAGUAGAGGGGUGUGGAAUUUCCUGGGUAGCGGUGAAAUGGGUAGAUAUAGGAAGGAACAUCAGUGGGGAAGGGGACNCCCUGGACUGACACUGACGCUGAGGUGGGAAAGCGUGGGGAGCAACCAGGAUUAGAUACCCUGGUAGUCCACCCCGUAAACGAUGUUUAUUAGCCGUUGGGGGACUUGAUCCUUUAGUGGCGCAGCUAACGCNAANCC
Molecule: ribosomal RNA, 534 nt
Filed under: uncultured bacterium
Lineage: Bacteria
Description: bacterial SSU rRNA
Rfam family: Bacterial small subunit ribosomal RNA
Source: RNAcentral